CUCACUGAAAUUUUAUGGGCGUUGGGCAAUCUGUCACAGACAGAACGCCAGCGAGUAAAACAAAACUCAGUUUAUUGAGGUUACAGAACUAAAAACGCCCGUAGGAAACAAAGAACAGGGCAAACACUUGACUUCAGUGUGAUAAGUAACAAAAAACAGCUCAGUUUGAGCUUAAACGGUUCAAAGGAAUAAACCGGGUUAAACAGAAGUAUAAUCCGGAUUAAAUCAAAAGUGCUUACUUCAGCCUGGCAAACAAUGCAAACAAAAGAGGAUCAACAGGAGUCAGAAUGUAAACAACAGACUGGUAGCAGAUUCCUCUCUGCUACUCAGAAACAGCAGGAGAAUAAACCAGGCUUGUUUAUUCCUUCCUGCAGCGAACGAAAAGCGUGGUCGUAGUCAGGAUUCAGUUUAAGGUUCAGCGGCCAACGAUAUCCAGGUCCAGGCACAGCAGUCAGGGUAACGGCAGUCAGCAGGGUCCCAAUCCGGUCCAGAGGUCAAUAGCCAAGCGUAGUCGUCUAGAAAUCCAAAGGUCUCACCGAUAGCCAGCAGAAGGGAUAACCCGGAAUCGAAGUCAGUCAGUCCAGCGUCAAUCCAGUGCGAGUAGAUAUUGCCCGUCAAAAAGACGACGGAGGUCCAAGCUAUCGAGAUUAAACACAAGUUGCACAGAGAAAAACCCCGCACAGUUCCUCCCGCCGUCUUUUUGACGGGCAAUAUCUACUCGCACUGGAUUGACGCUGGACUGACUGACUUCGAUUCCGGAUUAUCCCUUCUGCUGGCUAUCGGUGAGACCUUUGGAUUUCUAGACGACUACGCUUGGCUAUUGACCUCUGGACCGGAUUGGGACCCUGCUGACUGCCGUUACCCUGACUGCUGUGCCUGGACCUGGAUAUCGUUGGCCGCUGAACCUUAAACUGAAUCCUGACUACGACCACGCUUUUCGUUCGCUGCAGGAAGGAAUAAACAAGCCUGGUUUAUUCUCCUGCUGUUUCUGAGUAGCAGAGAGGAAUCUGCUACCAGUCUGUUGUUUACAUUCUGACUCCUGUUGAUCCUCUUUUGUUUGCAUUAUUUGCCAGGCUGAAGUAAGCACUUUUGAUUUAAUCCGGAUUAUACUUCUGUUUAACCCGGUUUAUCCCUUUGAACCGUUUAAGCUCAAACUGAGCUGUUUUUUGUUACUUAUCACACUGAAGUCAAGUGUUUGCCCUGUUCUUUGUUUCCUACGGGCGUUUUUAGUUCUGUAACCUCAAAUAAACUGAGUUUUGUUUUACUCGCUGGCGUUCUGUCUGUGACAGUCGGACUGUCUCAGCUUAUCCCUCACCAAGUUCAGUUGUUAAUAGGUUCAUGCAUUUCAUGAAGAGGGGUUAAAUAGGUAACAUUAAUAAAGUUGCCCAUAGUUAUGCCAUACUAUUGUGGGGUCUCAUUAUUUCAUCGGUGGGUGAGAAAUCCAAAAUGCUUCUUAUCCAUUUAGAUAAGGGAUACUUAGGACCAUUCCACACAACCAUAUAACUGAAUCAGGAAACACCCCAGGAACCGACUGGAGGCUGGGACAUUGGCCACAAAGAUCCAAUAUUUUUUUUCUUACCUCUUCUGGCAGUAUGUGCUGAUAGGCUUCAGCAUGUCCUUUGGAAUUAGAUCAAGGCAAGGCACAGAAAAUGAAGAUAAAGGGGAGAAAAACAGGUGUUGUCUCUCCGAAGGAGGUGUUUACCUUCCAGCCAGCUGUAUUUGCAGGUUUUUCAAAUGCCCCUAGCCGGUAUCUUGUUUUGGAAUAUCUCUACAAAAGUUAGUAGAUGUUGAUGUUUCACAAAAAUCUGGAAGCUUCAAUGUCACCUUCUAAUAUCUAUCCAUGGUGCUGAAUCCUAUCUGCCAAAUAAGUGCAAUACCUUAUAUAGCCACUUUAAAAUUCAGACAACAACCCAGAGUGUCAUGGUCAGCUCGAAGAAUGAGAGUGUGGAGUUGCUAGAAAGGCCAGCAGUCUACCCUAUGUAGCUCAGCCACUGCUGAAGACAAACUUUCAACUGAAGCGAACACUCUCUGGCAGCCUAUGGUCAGCUAGAUCGGGGAGGUUAUCACAGUUCUCAUAGAUUAACUGAAAAGCGCUCAUUAAUCAAGCAGCAGCUGAGAUCCUGAGAUAUAAAGCUCUCGGUGUCGUGACUCUUUUGCAGUGGACCAUGUUGUUAUCUGACACGAGUCCAAUACCCAUUUGUUUCUGACCUGACUCUGUUGCUUCAUCAGCUUGACUUCAAGGAAUUCUGAAUUUGACUACUUGGGCUUUGGAUCUCGGGAUUGGUUCAUAUAUCUCUUUUUGUUUUUAGUGCUUUGUGCAUCUGACCUUGUUUUUAUUCUGGUUUGACUUCCAAGGACUCCUGAAUUUGGCUUCUCUGAUAUCAAAAUCCUGACAUUGGCAGGCUUGUUCCUGUUGUUUGUUUAAAUUAAGCUGCUGAAAACAUGGUCCUGUUUACAACACAGAGGAGUUCUACCACCUAACUGGCAUGGGAACCACCAGUCUCUAAUGAUUAUAUAAUAACAAAGGGUAAAAUUUUCUAUCACAAUGUAUAUUAUAUAAUGUAUACUUAUCUAUUGUUGUUGUUGUUGUUAUACCCAAUUUUAUCUCCCCUGAAGGGGACUCAAAGCAUCUAUGUUGCAUAGAUGCUAACAAACUAUGUCAAAUAUGCACAACACAACAAAAGCAAGAGUGCCUUAAUGCACAUCAGGCUCCA
Molecule: long non-coding RNA, 2714 nt
Filed under: Anolis carolinensis (green anole)
Lineage: Eukaryota; Metazoa; Chordata; Lepidosauria; Squamata; Anolidae
Description: lncRNA (ENSACAG00000039483.1)
Source: RNAcentral